Molecule: transfer RNA, 60 nt
Filed under: bovine gut metagenome
Rfam family: tRNA
About the family: Transfer RNA (tRNA) molecules are approximately 80 nucleotides in length. Their secondary structure includes four short double-helical elements and three loops (D, anti-codon, and T loops).
Source: RNAcentral
CUUAGCUCAGCGGUUAGAGCAGCGGACUCAUAAUCCGUUGGUCCUGGGUUCAAAUCCCCG